GCGGACGGGUGAGUAAUGUCUGGGAAACUGCCUGAUGGAGGGGGAGUAACUACUGGAAACGGUAGCUAAUACCGCAUAACGUCGCAAGACCAAAGAGGGGGACCUUCGGGCCUCUUGCCAUCGGAUGUGCCCAGAUGGGAUUAGCUAGUAGGUGGGGUAACGGCUCACCUAGGCGACGAUCCCUAGCUGGUCUGAGAGGAUGACCAGCCACACUGGAACUGAGACACGGUCCAGACUCCUACGGGAGGCAGCAUG
This 255-nucleotide ribosomal RNA is filed under the name uncultured bacterium. RNAcentral's name for it is "partial 16S ribosomal RNA". It matches the Rfam family "Bacterial small subunit ribosomal RNA", at positions 98 to 353 of the family's 1533-position model. The record is from RNAcentral.